Molecule: unclassified non-coding RNA, 314 nt
Filed under: plant metagenome
Description: partial contains 5.8S ribosomal RNA, internal transcribed spacer 2, and large subunit ribosomal RNA
Rfam family: 5.8S ribosomal RNA (bases 1-105)
Source: RNAcentral
GAAAUGCGAUAAUUAAUGUGAAUUGCAGAAUUCAGUGAAUCAUCGAGUCUUUGAACGCACAUUGCGCCCCCUGGUAUUCCGGGGGGCAUGCCUGUCCGAGCGUCAUUGCUGCCCUCAAGCACGGCUUGUGUGUUGGGCUUCCGUCCCUGGCAACGGGGACGGGCCCAAAAGGCAGUGGCAGCACCAUGUCUGGUCCUCGAGCGUAUGGGGCUUUGUCACCCGCUCCCGUAGGUCCAGCUGGCAGCUAGCCUCGCAACCAAUCUUUUUAACCAGGUUGACCUCGGAUCAGGUAGGGAUACCCGCUGAACUUAAGC